Molecule: long non-coding RNA, 2679 nt
Filed under: Equus caballus (horse)
Lineage: Eukaryota; Metazoa; Chordata; Mammalia; Perissodactyla; Equidae
Description: lncRNA (ENSECAG00000051971.1)
Source: RNAcentral
UGGAAGGCCAUACCUUAGGAAGCUGAAAUUGCUGGCAGCUGCAGAAAGCAGUGGGUGGCAGGUGUUCCCGCACGCCCUUUGGGGAGGAAAAGGGCUACAUUUCAGAGGCUUAUAUGCGCUAAUAUACAAAUGGCUUCUAAAUAAUAAAAGCUAAAGCCAUUGCUGAAUGAAGAUCCUCUGUUCUUCCACAUUUUGCAAGGACUGGGAUGUUUGUUUGUGGAAAUGAGACAAGAUGGCUGGCUCACUGACAGUUUAGGUGAGAGAACGGCAAGCCAGAGCCAUCUGUUUUGUUACCUCACCACGAGAAAACAGGACACUCUCUUAUGAGAACACUCACUACUUGAUAUGCCCUAAGAUGAACACAAAUCUUUUAAGGGGCUUCAUGUGGAGUUAGACAAUAGACUUCACUGUGUUCUCGGACAAUCUAGUAUAACUCACUUACAGAGUAAAUUCGCUCAGGCUUAUACACAAAUGGGCUUCUCAGGGAAACGGCAACAUCAGACAUGCAGAGGAAUAUUUAAAGGACCAAUGUUUCUAAAUUACAGGAAUUCCAUAUUCCAAUACUGCAAAGUGUACAAUUAUCUGUAUGACACCGAAAAAGAAGCAGUACAGCUUAGUGGGAAGAGCACGGACUUGGACGUAGUGACUUCUCAGCCAGUAUAGACAAAGAGUUGACCCUGGAUGACUCUAGUGAGUCCCGAAUCAAAUGGCUUGGCUUUUAUCAAACCCCCUCUGGGAGAAAUGACUCCAGUAUUGAUGGGGACAUCCCAACCCAGGCUUCACCCUGAUCUGCAUAUGGCCUGGGCUUCAGCUGUGAGAGUUGUGGUGGGACGCCAUCAUGCUCUAACUCUGAAGUUCUUAGAAGAUGCUCAGGCUUUUGCUAUAGAAAAACAAAGGAAGAAUGGGUACAGUGAGCCAGACUCUGGUUUGUGCUGUGAAUCCUGUUGAUGAAUCUGCAUGGAGAAAGUCAAAGUGAACCAUAUUGCUCAUUAGCAAGUCAGAAUGCCUGACUCAUGCUGAGCACAGGAGGACAACUGAGGAAUGAGACCCUGGCUGAAGGGCCCAUCAUGGUGUCAUCUUUUCCUUUGUUGGAGGCCUGAUGGUAUCAACUCUCUCUCCAUGCUCGCCCACCAUGUGUGUGGUGUCUGUCAAUGCAGGUAUCACAGAUCACUGAUGAAGAGGUGUGUGUGUGGAGGCAGAAGUCUAGAGAGAUCAUCUGAGCCAAUUAGGGAGGAGUAUUUCCCCUGGAAUGAUCCUUCAACAUCCAUGUGAAUUUUUGGCGAAGUCUCCUUGGUCAUGCUGAAGACUUCCCAUGCUGAAGACAUGACUUUGGGGCAGUUUGCAGGACUACCUGGCAUGUACCACAUGUGUUGGGUUUUCUUCAUUCCCCAUUUUGUUUUGCUUUGCUUUCCAAUAUCAAAGCACUCUAAGCUACUAGACAUAGCUUCUAUCCAAUGACUUCAGAUGAACAAUUUCCAGAUGUGCUAUUUGUAGUCUGGCCAAAAUUUAAUAGUUGUAGAGCAAAGAUACAAAGGUCCCCAGUCCCUAGAGGCACUAUAGCAUCACAGUGUAGACUGCAAGCCCGGGAGCCAGACUGCCUGGGAUUGAAUCCUGGCUCUACCACUUGGGUAAGCUAUUGAACUUCUUUGCUCCUCAGUUUUCUCAUCAAUAAAACAGUGAUAAUGAUAGUACCUAACUCACAGGGAUGUUGUGAGGAUUAAAUUAAUUAAUUGUCUUUUUUUUACAAGAGGGUUUGUAGACUAUGUGCCUGCCAAGUGGUAAGUGCGUGAUAAAUGGUAAGCAUUCUUAUGAUUCAAGAAUCCUGUUGGCCACUUCAACAGGACCUCACAGGGUGGGAGUAAGUGGAUGAAUGGGCCUUGAGUAUCAUGGAGAUGCUCAGCUUUAUAGAUCUAGAAAUGUGAUCACCUCAGUGCAAUCAGUUAAGAGGGCACAGGAGAUUGGCCCAUAUAGACUAAACUCUCAAACUCACAAAAGGGUUUAUUGCCCUAUACCAAUGCGUUUAUUUACAGUAAGAUUUAGAACAGGCAAGGGGGCCACCCAGACAUUCAUGUCAGCAUGUCAGUGUACCCUUCCCUAGUAUGAAAAUCUACACGGGAAAUCAAGUUUUAAUUUGAAGGUUGCUUGGUGAGCAUGGAAGUAGAACUUGGUAAACUCAAGCUGUGCGGAUUUAACGUAGUCAUUCCCAAUACAGGAAGAGAAUAUCGCGUAUUUACCUGCAAAAGGGACUGAAACUUCCAGUCCUCUGGUCAGGAAACUCCCUCUUGUGAACACAGCUAACAAAUUCAAACUUAUUUUCUUUUCUCUGGUGCCACACAGAGCAUUCCAUUGUGAUAAUAUACUUUCUUUGGGAUUGUGGAGACUAAAAAGGGGGCAGGGUCAAAGCUUUAGAUAUGCUAAUACAGCAGUUACUUCUGGAACUAUAUUUGAGUCAGGCCCUGGGUAUAUCUGAAAGUUUUUAGACAUUUCGUCUUCAGAUGAGUUUCUUUCACACUGACCUAGGGGAGAGUGGAAUUUCCGGCCCACUGAAUGAGGAAGUGACGCGUUCGAUGCCUAAUAGGAUGGAGGAAUUUGUGUUUACCUGAACUCUUUUAAAGGAAAGCCCUUCGUGGAGUUGAAGAAUCUUUUAUGAGCCACUUGAUGGCAGUGGGGGUGGGGGAC